Molecule: small nuclear RNA, 152 nt
Filed under: Ursus thibetanus thibetanus
Lineage: Eukaryota; Metazoa; Chordata; Mammalia; Carnivora; Ursidae
Description: U4 spliceosomal RNA (ENSUTTG00000010220.1)
Rfam family: U4 spliceosomal RNA
About the family: U4 small nuclear RNA (U4 snRNA) is a component of the major U2-dependent spliceosome. The structure of U4 snRNA from yeast and human has been reported.
Source: RNAcentral
AGCUUUGCGCAGUGGCAGUAUCUUAGCCAAUGAGGUUUAUCCGAGGCACGAUUAUUGCUAAUUGAAAACAAGAUUACUUGUUAGACCUAAAUUUUAGUUUUUUUAAGGAACGUUAAUAUGUUAAUUUGAAUUUUUUAAAAUUAUAAUAAUAA